This is a long non-coding RNA of Oryza sativa Japonica Group (Japanese rice), 3112 nucleotides long. RefSeq lists it as uncharacterized. The record is from RefSeq and is a predicted model, not a curated record. NCBI's taxonomy places the organism in Eukaryota, Viridiplantae, Streptophyta, Magnoliopsida, Poales, Poaceae.
CGCGUCUCCCCGCGCCAUCCUCCACCGCCUCCGCCACCGUGGCCUCGCCGUCGCCACCGCGUCCUCGGCACGCGUCGGCCUCCUUUGCCGGCGGCCGCCAGCCGCCAGCCGCCGCCGCCGGCCAGAUCCGGCGUGGAUCCGCCGGAUCCAACCGCGGGGAGGCCGGAUCCGGCCGCGGCGGCGUCGGAUCCACCGUCUCCACGCCGCGUCGUCAGCCUUGCACCGCGCGCCGGCCCGCCAUCCACGCGUGGAGAUGGGGCGCCGUCGGGGGUUGGCCUCGCCGCCGCCAUCCUGGCUGGCCACGCGGUUCUCCGGCGGCGCGCUCCGGCGGCGGCGAGGGGAGGGAGAGGAGGAGAGAGUGGCGACGGAGGCGCUAGGGUUUCCCCCCGAUUCGCCCACGCGUGGGCGACGCGGGGGCGAGCACAAGACUUUUUCCCGGCCAUUCAAAAUUCACAUUUUCGGCAUAAAUAGUACUGUUGUUUUGCCCAGAAAAUAUAUAUAGAGAGAGACUUUAUACAUUCAAACUUUAUAUAUAGAAACUUUAUAGAUGGAAACUUUACAUAGGAAUAUCUUCGUACCAAAAUUUAUGCAGAUAAAAUUAAAACAAAUAAAAAUAAAACAUCCAGAUGGACCUGGGGCAAACCACAUGCAUGGCAUGCCUGCUCGAUGGGCCUUCCGUGGAAAACAUGCAAGCAAAAAGAGAAAACACUAACUAGAAAAAAUAAGUGAGAGCCUGUGAUUAAUCAAAUUGUUGCUCGUAUUUGCCAAAAAGAGAAACUAAACAAUCCCGUAUGUAGUUUGUUGUGCCAAAAAAGGAACUUUAAAUCUAAUCUUGCGUGGUGAGCACGAGCGAUUCGCUCAUUAGCUUUUUUUGACAAUAAGGUGGUCAAGAUUUUAUAUUUUCUCCUAAAACUAGGGUGGCUUGGUUCUACGAAUCUUUUACCCAUAAUUCACCAACUCACUCUUACACCUACAUUACUCAUUCAUCAAAUCCGACGGACGAAAAUCAUCCGGCCAAAUCAAAUGAUCGCUGCGGCGUAGGGAUAACCCGGGCGAAGGAAUCGCGUGAUCUUUUCCCUUUCCUUCCGUGCGGACGCGAUCUUUCCUUCCACGCCAAUCUGCGCGAUCUCCUCCCCUUUCCAUUUCCCUUCACCUACCAAUCUGCGCUCAUCCGCGCGCCCAGCACUCCCUGCCGUGCGCCAUCGACGUUCCUCCAAACAGUGAAGAUCACAUCCCCUUCUCCACCAUCAGGCGCCGUCGCAUUCUCCGCCACGAAGAUCAUCGUCGUCUCAAGCGCCGUUGUUGAUCCCCUGCCGCCAGAGCGCAGCAGCGACGACGACGGCAACAGUAGCCAACCAGUGCAGGGGGAGACGGCACUGCGUGAUCCUCGUCCUGCUACAGAUAUAUUGCAGUGUUUUUUUUUCAGUUUCUUAAGAUCUCUUGUUCAACAAAUUCUAAUUCAUAAAAGUUAACAAGUUUUUUAGCUGAUCAACCGUUGCUUUCUGACUCUUUGUUUCUUUGAACACUGAUGUUUUGAUUCCUCUCUUGGAGUUCAUGGAGAUAAACGGGCAGGUAAGGUAUUGGAUCAGCCAUGGUCAGGAGGUAAUGGAGAUCCUGCGAGCUGAUUCGAAGUCUAUUUCUUAUCGAUUGGAGUGUCGACUUCAGCUCCUGAAUGAACCUGAUCUUUCUGCAGCAGUCCAUGAGGUAACUCCUGUUUUCUUCCAGGUUUAUUAGGGAUGCAGGAGUGCAGCACGACGAGAAGGACCGCUGCAUACGAGAUGCUCGUGACAAUGCCUCACAGCAAGAUGAUACUCAUAACUUUCUCUGACUUUUCUUCUUUUGAUAUAUUGCUGGGAGAUAAAGGAAACUUUUAAUGUUAGACAUACGCUGCCACUGUUGAAGUGAAAUGAUACCAUCCGUCGUACAUAUAUGGGAUUUCUAAUGUUCGUUUCCUAUGUAAGCAAAGGAGUGAACAAAAAGCUGGUGUAUGAUUACUCUACCAAUACCUGAUCUAGACAGAUAGCACUAUAUGUAAGCAGAGAUGCAUGCUCUGAUGCAGUUGAUUUUUUAUAUUUAUAAUGUGGCAAUUAAGGUUUUGCCACUCGAUGUCUAUGAUAUGUGGUCUCUCUUGUGUCUAUGACAUAUGGGUCCAGUGACAAAUCAUUUAAUCUGGUGAUAGGUGAUAGGGAUUUCAUGACUCUAGAGGAUCGGCAAUGGUUGUAAGCAUUGGCAGAUUUGAUUCACCGAGAAGUUUUUCCUCAGUGACACUGUUGUCCACAAGGUUGGUAGGUUCCUCUUCUUGCUUUCCUCAUUGAUGUAUGAUUCCAUUUAGUAUGCUAUACAAUAAAACACUGAACCAUGUUAUCUGAAUAGCCAGGUGCAGUUUGUAUUGCAAAGAGUAGGCUGUAAAUUCACUGAAUCAUGUGUCUCAUAUUUUACCGGUUUAUAUUUACUGAUAGGAUGAUUCUAUUUCUCGUUACUGGUUUUCUCAACAAACAAAAGUUUUACAUGAAGUAUUGUUACUUUCACAUAAAAUAGUUUAUUACUGAUGGGAGGGUUUUAUUCUUAGUUUCUCGUUUUGAGAAGACAGCAAGUUCUCAGCUUUUUUUUCUGAAGUUCUGACGGAUGGCAUAGUUAGUACUAUGGCAUUGCAAUGGGAUAAUUGAAGCACUGCAAUAAGCUGGUAAUAGUUUUUUUUCCCAUCUUUGCAAGAGGAGGCAACCUAUAGGGAUGGUGGGAUAUUUGUACUUAUCUUUUAGCCUUAAUAUGGACCUGAGUUCUUACUGCAGGGAGUGCAACAAUUCCAUGUAACCAAAAGUAUGAAUUGGACACAGUACAGUUCAAGAACAGGUUCUUCUCUACGAAAAUAAAUUGGCAAGGCUACCUUAGAGUUGAAAAAAUCUAGGAUUGCAAGAGCAUUGCAAGGGAGAACUUCUGAAAAGGAACUGUGAGUACAAAGAAGAGCUCACAACAAGUAUAGAGUUCUUGCAUUGCAUUAACAUAUGAUUUUUUUUAAAAAAAUAUUUAGUAUAAUGUCAUUAUUGUUUUUCCUAGCAACUAAAGUCUGCGAUUCAGAGAACAAUACUAAUACUAUUAUGCACAUACUUCUAUC